Molecule: transfer RNA, 69 nt
Filed under: Marmota monax (woodchuck)
Lineage: Eukaryota; Metazoa; Chordata; Mammalia; Rodentia; Sciuridae
Description: tRNA.Thr
Rfam family: tRNA
About the family: Transfer RNA (tRNA) molecules are approximately 80 nucleotides in length.
Source: RNAcentral
GGGGUGAGCUCAGUGGUAGAGCUCUUGCCCAGUUUGUCUGAGGCCCUGGGUUCAAACCCCAGCACCACA